CCCGAUUUUGGUAAUUAGAACUCUUUCUAAUUGACAUUCGAAUUAAACUCUUUAAUUCGAACAAAAACAUACAAGUCAAGAUUGACAUCUAGCAACGUAUCAUGACUACCCAAAGGAUAUAAAAAUUUGAUGAAAAUACUAAAUUUACCCUUCAGUGGCAAGUUACCGUGCAAUACAAUCCUUCGAUCAUCCCAGCACCCUGAAUAUGUUCAUGAGUAUGGAAUCAUAUCAAACUCAAACACAUAUUUAUAUUGAUUUUCAAUGAACCAAUGAUGACUCCAAUGAAGAAGCAUUAGAAACUUUUUCUAAUCUCCUUCCUACUUUUGGCCAAAAUAUUUUUUCUAAGUCAUCUACGAAUGAGAAUACACAGGUUGCGAUCUCCUCUUACCAGGAGCGAUCGAUUCUAUGUUAACCUACUCAUAACCUUCGUACACACUCCUACCAUAUCUAGAACACCUGGUAUAUAUCUUAAAGCCAUGCUUGAGUAUGAGCCAAAAUAUGGAUUCAUGUGCAUAAGAUUUUAUGGUGAUCUCAGGUCUAAGGAUCACUUGUACAACUCUCACUUAGAGAACUAUCUUUGACAUGCAAGUAAGAC
Molecule: long non-coding RNA, 595 nt
Filed under: Elaeis guineensis (African oil palm)
Lineage: Eukaryota; Viridiplantae; Streptophyta; Magnoliopsida; Arecales; Arecaceae
Description: long non-coding RNA (EGUI_LNC057109)
Source: RNAcentral